GUGGAUUAGAUACCCUGGUAGUCCACGCUGUAAACGAUGAGCACUAGGUGUAGCGGGUAUUGACCCCUGCUGUGCCGCAGCUAACGCAUUAAGUGCUCCGCCUGGGGAUUACGGUCGCAAGACUAAAACUCAAAGGAAUUGACGGGGGCCCGCACAAGCGGUGGAGCAUGUGGUUUAAUUCGACGCAACGCGAAGAACCUUACCUGGGUUUGACAUCCCCGGCCCGCCUUGGAAACAGGGUUUUCCCCUUCGGGGGACCGGGAGACAGGUGCUGCAUGGCCGUAGCCAGCU
This 291-nucleotide ribosomal RNA is filed under the name uncultured bacterium. Its description in RNAcentral is "partial 16S ribosomal RNA". It matches the Rfam family "Bacterial small subunit ribosomal RNA", at positions 773 to 1060 of the family's 1533-position model. The record is from RNAcentral.